UGGGACAACAGUUGGAAACGACUGCGAAUACCCUAUACUCCACUAUGACCUAUGUCGUCUCGGGAAAGUUUUCCGCUAUAGGAUGAGGCUGCGGUCUAUCAGCUAGUUGGUGAGGUAACGGCUCACCAAGGCUAUGACGGAUAGCUGGUCUGAGACGAUGAUCAGCCACACUGGAACUGAGACACGGUCCAGACUCCUACGGGAGGCAGCAGUGGGGAAUUUUACACAAUGGGCGCAAGCCUGAUGUAGCAACGCCGCGUGGAGGAUGAAGGAUUUAGGGUCGUAAACUCCUUUUAUAGGGGAAGAAAUUUGACGGUGCCCUAUGAAUAAGCACCGGCUAACUCCGUGCCAGCAGCCGCGGUAAUACGGGGGGUGCAAGCGUUACUCGGAAUCACUGGGCGUAAAGGUAGCGUAGGCGUUCUAUUAAGUCUUGAGUGAAAUCCUAUGGCUUAACCAUAGAACUGCAUCCAAAACUGUCAGACUAGAGUAAGGGAGAGGUCAGUGGAAUUAGUGGUGUAGGGGUAAAAUCCGUAGAGAUCACUAGGAAUACUCAUAGCGAAGGCGACUGACUGGAACUUUACUGACGCUAAGGCGCGAAAGCGUGGGGAGCAAACAGGAUUAGAUACCCUGGUAGUCCACGCCCUAAACGAUGUACACUAGUUGUUGUGGUGCCAGUCACUGCAGUAAUACAGUUAACGCAUUAAGUGUACCGCCUGGGGAGUACGGUCGCAAGAUUAAAACUCAAAGGAAUAGACGGGGACCCGCACAAGCGGUGGAGCAUGUGGUUUAAUUCGAAGAUACGCGAAAAACCUUACCUGGCCUUGACAUUGAUAGAAUCUGAGAUAGUGGAGUGCCAGUUUACUGGAGCUUGAAAACAGGUGCUGCACGGCUGGCGUCAGCUCGUGUCGUGAGAUGUUGGGUUAAGUCCCGCAACGAGCGCAACCCUCGUGACUAGUUACUAACGGUUCGGCCGAGGACUCUAGUCAGACUGCCUUCGUAAGGAGGAGGAAGGUGAGGACGACGUCAAGUCAUCAUGGCCCUUACGGCUAGGGCGACACACGUGCUACAAUGGGCAGGACAAUGAGACGCAAUACCGCGAGGUGGAGCAAAUCUAUAAACCUGCUCUCAGUUCGGAUUGUAGUCUGCAACUCGACUACAUGAAGCUGGAAUCACUAGUAAUCGGAGAUCAGCCAUGCAACGGUGAAUCCGUCCCCGGGUCUUGUACUCCCCGCCCGUCACACCAUGGGAGUUGAUUUCACCCGAAGCGGGGAAGCUAAACUGGCUACCCUCCACGGUGGAAUCAGCGACUGGGGUGAAGUCGUAACAAGGUAACCG
This 1335-nucleotide ribosomal RNA is filed under the name uncultured prokaryote. Its description in RNAcentral is "bacterial SSU rRNA". It matches the Rfam family "Bacterial small subunit ribosomal RNA", at positions 139 to 1502 of the family's 1533-position model. The record is from RNAcentral.